ACCAGUACCGUGAGGGAAAGGUGAAAAGCACCCCGGAAGGGGAGUGAAAUAGAACCUGAAACCGUGUGCUUACAAGUAGUCAGAGCCCGUUAAUGGGUGAUGGCGUGCCUUUUGUAGAAUGAACCGGCGAGUUACGAUUUGAUGCAAGGUUAAGCAGUAAAUGUGGAGCCGUAGCGAAAGCGAGUCUGAAUAGGGCGUUUAGUAUUUGGUCGUAGACCCGAAACCAGGUGAUCUACCCUUGGUCAGGUUGAAGUUCAGGUAACACUGAAUGGAGGACCGAACCGACUUACGUUGAAAAGUGAGCGGAUGAACUGAGGGUAGCGGAGAAAUUCCAAUCGAACCUGGAGAUAGCUGGUUCUCUCCGAAAUAGCUUUAGGGCUAGCCUCAAGUGAUGAUUAUUGGAGGUAGAGCACUGUUUGGACGAGGGGCCCCUCUCGGGUUACCGAAUUCAGACAAACUCCGAAUGCCAAUUAAUUUAACUUGGGAGUCAGAACAUGGGUGAUAAGGUCCGUGUUCGAAAGGGAAACAGCCCAGACCACCAGCUAAGGUCCCAAAAUAUAUGUUAAGUGGAAAAGGAUGUGGCGUUGCCCAGACAACUAGGAUGUUGGCUUAGAAGCAGCCAUCAUUUAAAGAGUGCGUAAUAGCUCACUAGUCGAGUGACACUGCGCCGAAAAUGUACCGGGGCUAAACAUAUUACCGAAGCUGUGGAUUGUCCUUUGGACAAUGGUAGGAGAGCGUUCUAAGGGCGUUGAAGCAUGAUCGUAAGGACAUGUGGAGCGCUUAGAAGUGAGAAUGCCGGUGUGAGUAGCGAAAGACGGGUGAGAAUCCCGUCCACCGAUUGACUAAGGUUUCCAGAGGAAGGCUCGUCCGCUCUGGGUUAGUCGGGUCCUAAGCUGAGGCCGACAGGCGUAGGCGAUGGAUAACAGGUUGAUAUUCCUGUACCACCUAUA
RNAcentral lists this ribosomal RNA (950 nucleotides) under Staphylococcus aureus. RNAcentral's name for it is "partial 23S ribosomal RNA". It matches the Rfam family "Bacterial large subunit ribosomal RNA", at positions 494 to 1452 of the family's 2925-position model. Lineage: Bacteria; Bacillati; Bacillota; Bacilli; Caryophanales; Staphylococcaceae. The record is from RNAcentral.